CCCACUGAACUGAAGCAUCUCAAUAAGUGGAGGAAAAUAAACUAACUAGGAUACUCUUAGUAAGUGCGACCGAAGAGAGUAAAGCUCAAUAAUCUAAACUUUAAAUUUUUAUAAUUUAAAGUCAUGUGAUUUUCUAAACUCAUUGAAAUUUUUAUAAAUUAUGAUUGAAUUCAUAACUAUAAAGAGUUAUAGUCUCGUUAUAUUGAAAUUUCAAGCAUGGGAAUUAGAAUUAAAGAGUCGGGUAGCUUGAGAAUGCUGCCUUAAUAUAGGUGGUACACCCCAUCUAAAGCUAAAUAUUGUAAAGAGACCGAUAGCAUACAAGUAGUGUGAACGAAAGAUGAAAAGAACUCCUAAACGGAGAAUUAAAAGCGCCUGAACUUGUCUAGGUUUUCGCAUUUCUUUAAUGCGCCCGUCUUGAAACACGGAUUAGGGAGUUUUACUUAAAUACGAGUCUUUAACUUUUAAAGUAAUUUUUUUAAAAAAGGCGAAAAGAAAUUAACUGGUUUUUUAACAUGGCUAUAGAGUAUUUAAGUCAAAACCCGAAUGGAGGUGAACUAUUCCUGCAAAGAUUGAAGUCAGGGGAAACUCUGAUGGAAGAUCGUUGGCGUUAUUGAUGUGCAAAUCAUUUGCUUUAUGUAGGUAUAGGUGCGAAAGACUCAUCGAACCUCCUAAUAGCUGGUUUCCUCCGAAGUUUCCCUCAGGAUAGCUGUAACAUUUUUAAAUAGUUAAGGAUAGUAGAGAAAUGGGUAGAGGUGUAGUGGAACUACGGUUCUGCAACUUAUUUCCAAACUUCGAACGUUCUUGAUAUAAAAAAUUACCUAAUAGGAAUUUUUUAUUUAAAUAUAUGUUAUAAGUGGGCUCUGACCGGUAAGCGGUCAUGGCGAAAAGGGAUGAACCUAACGUAUAAAUAAGGUGCCUAAAUUUACUAACAAUGAAACCAUUAAAAGAGUCCAUGUAUUUAGACAGCGGGUCGGUGCCCCUAAAAGCAGGUAUCCGUUAAUGAGUGUGUUAAAACUCCCCCGCCGAAUACUCUGGCCUUGAAAAUGAAUGGCGCAUAUAGUAAUACCGAUAUUAUACAUUAAAAUUAUUUCAAAAUUUUAAAAGUAGGGGGAUGUGGAUAUCUUAGAGAAUUUUUAAUUGUAAAAUUGAAUUGAAAGAUAUCUAUUACAGAUCCUAAUUGAAGUAGCGAUUAUCCAGGUUAAUCUCCUGGGGGCUGAUGAGGAGUAGGGUUUCUGGGCAACUUAAACGGACCCAGAGUUAGUCGAUCCUAAUCAAAUUAAAUUUAGAGAAAGGGAAUAUGAAUGAUAUUUCAUAACUAAAAUUAAUUUUUAAAUGGUGACAUUUUUUUAAACUUAUUUCCAUCAAUUAAAUACUGUUUAAUAGGGAUUUCUUUCCUAUAUAACUUUUUAAUUAAAACUUAAGAAACAGGUUAACUGGAGAAUAAAGUUUUAAUUUAGUAAAAUUAUAAUUUCGAUUAUAAUAACGGCUAUUUAAAUGAUCCAUGAAACGAUAAGUUUAUUUUUUCAAAAAUUAAUUUAAUCGUACCGAUAACCGCAUCAGGUCUCCAAGGUGAGUAGCUUCUGGCCAUUGAGUAAUGGUAAUUUAGGGAAUUCGGCCAAUUAGAGCUGUAACUUCGGGAUAAAGCUUGGCUCUGAUGGAAAUCAGAACCGAUAGUUACAAGGAGAGCCCAACUGUUUAAUAAAAACUUAGUGUCGCGUCAUACCUUUAUAAGUAAUAAACGUGACAUGAAUCCUGCUCAGUGCUGUGUUUGUUAAACUGGAUUAAUCCAUUUAAGCGCCGGUAAAUAGCUGGGGUAACUAUGACUCUUAUCAAAGUAGCGAAAUACCUCGUCACUUAAUUAGUGACCUGCAUGAACGGAGCUAUGAGGUUCUCACUGUCCCAAAUUAUCACUCAGCGAACCAACAGUUGUGGGAACGGGCACAAAUUAUCCAGCGGGGAAAGAAGACCCUGUAGAGCUUCACUUUGGUCUAAUCUUGUAUAGUUUCGUUAGGGGUGCAGUCUAGGUGGGAGAUUUUUAAUCAAAUAUGAGAAACCACUACCCUUUCUGGAAUUAUACUUACUAAAAUUCUUUUCUAAAUUUUAGGAUCGGAUUAGAUAGAAAGUUUGGCUGGGGCGGCACACCUUCGAAAAAGCAGCGAAGGUGUCCUAAGUUAAGCUCAGUAAGGACAGAAAUCUUACGUUGAGGAUAAGGCCAAAAGCUUAAUUUACUGUGCCUUUUUGUACUAGGAUCAGUUUGGAAACAAAGGCCUAACGAUCCCUAAUUAGUCUUAGGUGUGUAAGACUUGGGGUGACAGACAAGUUACCUCCGGGACAACUGGCUUGUGGCUGCUAAGAGAUCAAAUCAACGCAGCUUUUUGAUUCUUCGAUAGAUCGGAAGAGCGUCGUGUAGGGAAAGAGUGUAGAUCUCG
RNAcentral lists this ribosomal RNA (2429 nucleotides) under human gut metagenome. RNAcentral's name for it is "eukaryotic LSU rRNA". It matches the Rfam family "Eukaryotic large subunit ribosomal RNA", at positions 24 to 2973 of the family's 3401-position model. The record is from RNAcentral.